CAUUUCUUGUGGAAGAACCUUUCUCCAUGUCUUCUCUCCUUGAACUCUCUGAUAAGAAACCUAAUCCAUAUCCCUCCUUUUCCAUUUAUGCUUUUUGUAUCCACAUUUGCCUCCUCCACCGAUAUGUCUUACAAUCCUUACCAUGAACUGGUGUUCCCUUCUCCUCUCCACCCCACCACCACCAAACCAUCGCCAUUCUGAAAACCCUUGAGACCAUCGUCUCCUCUAACAUCUCCCACCGCCGUCUCCUCUAAACAGGCAUGUUUGUGAUUAAAGGUUCGAUUUUCUGUUUUUUUUUUUUUUUCCUAUUUUUACAUCAAAUUUGAAAUGGGCAUUCUAUUUUUGUUUCUGUUAUUCAUUAGAAUGUUGAUGGUAGUGUAGCAAUCGUAUCAAACAAUGGCAAUUGAAGAGGCGUCAAUGGACUAAAACAUUGGAUCUGUUAAAGCCCUACAGGUUCAGUCAAUUUGAUUUCUCUUCUUCCUUACCUCCUUACUGUUAGCCACCUCAUCGCCGCCUACAAACCCACCACUCUUUGUAGCCAAUGAUCUGAUUCAGGCCUUUAGUUCAGAUCAAGUUUAUAAAUGUAAAAAAUCAUACAGAUAAGUAUGUUCCCGUUGUCUCUUUUUGAAUCUGAGAAAUAUAAAAAGUUCCCAUUAUUGAAUGUUGGAUUUUUAUCUUAUUUAAUUUACUAACCGAUCUUGAUGUUACACUUUGUUAUUCUUUACAGAUCUAAGACUCAAAAUAAAUUUUUUUUUUAUCUUUUAACUGCUUUGGAUUUUACACAUCUAAACUUCAGUGAAUAGGGGUUAUCAUACUCCUGAACUUUGUUCUUAUAUUGUAGGUUCAAAUGAUGAUGUCUUUUGGAAUAAUUUCUAUCAGGAGCUACUAUUGUGUAUUAAGUUCAUGCAAUUUCUUUUUUUUCUCUAUGACCAUGGCUAAUUAGUACCAAAUUCACUAAUAAUUGUUUAUGAAAUCAUGAUUGUCAUUAUUAUUUAUUAAUUUGUUUAG
RNAcentral lists this long non-coding RNA (1008 nucleotides) under Lactuca sativa (garden lettuce). Its description in RNAcentral is "long non-coding RNA (LSAT_LNC002495)". The record is from RNAcentral. Lineage: Eukaryota; Viridiplantae; Streptophyta; Magnoliopsida; Asterales; Asteraceae.